RNAcentral lists this transfer RNA (71 nucleotides) under Mesocricetus auratus (golden hamster). It matches the Rfam family "tRNA". Rfam says of the family: Transfer RNA (tRNA) molecules are approximately 80 nucleotides in length. Their secondary structure includes four short double-helical elements and three loops (D, anti-codon, and T loops). Further hydrogen bonds mediate the characteristic L-shaped molecular structure. tRNAs have two regions of fundamental functional importance: the anti-codon, which is responsible for specific mRNA codon recognition, and the 3' end, to which the tRNAs corresponding amino acid is attached (by aminoacyl-tRNA synthetases). tRNAs cope with the degeneracy of the genetic code in two manners: having more than one tRNA (with a specific anti-codon) for a particular amino acid; and 'wobble' base-pairing, i.e. permitting non-standard base-pairing at the 3rd anti-codon position. The record is from Rfam by way of RNAcentral. Lineage: Eukaryota; Metazoa; Chordata; Mammalia; Rodentia; Cricetidae.
AGGGAUGUAGCUCAGUGGUAGAGUGCUCGCCUGGCUAGCACGUACCUUAGGUUCAAAUCCUUACACUCCUC